RNAcentral lists this ribosomal RNA (517 nucleotides) under uncultured Staphylococcus sp. RNAcentral describes it as "bacterial SSU rRNA". It matches the Rfam family "Bacterial small subunit ribosomal RNA", at positions 8 to 507 of the family's 1533-position model. Lineage: Bacteria; Bacillati; Bacillota; Bacilli; Caryophanales; Staphylococcaceae. The record is from RNAcentral.
AGAGUUUGAUCCUGGCUCAGGAUGAACGCUGGCGGCGUGCCUAAUACAUGCAAGUCGAGCGAACAGAUAAGGAGCUUGCUCCUUUGAAGUUAGCGGCGGACGGGUGAGUAACACGUGGGUAACCUACCUAUAAGACUGGGAUAACUUCGGGAAACCGGAGCUAAUACCGGAUAACAUUUAGAACCGCAUGGUUCUAAAGUGAAAGAUGGUUUUGCUAUCACUUAUAGAUGGACCCGCGCCGUAUUAGCUAGUUGGUAAGGUAACGGCUUACCAAGGCGACGAUACGUAGCCGACCUGAGAGGGUGAUCGGCCACACUGGAACUGAGACACGGUCCAGACUCCUACGGGAGGCAGCAGUAGGGAAUCUUCCGCAAUGGGCGAAAGCCUGACGGAGCAACGCCGCGUGAGUGAUGAAGGGUUUCGGCUCGUAAAACUCUGUUACUAGGGAAGAACAAAUGUGUAAGUAACUGUGCACAUCUUGACGGUACCUAAUCAGAAAGCCACGGCUAACUACGUG